CACGUAGGGUGCGAGCGUUGUCCGGAAUUAUUGGGCGUAAAGAGCUCGUAGGCGGUGUGUCACGUCGGCCGUGAAAACCUGCAGCUUAACUGUGGGCUUGCGGUCGAUACGGGCAUCACUGGAGUUCGGCAGGGGAGACUGGAAUUCCUGGUGUAGCGAUGAAAUGCGCAGAUAUCAGGAGGAACACCGGUGGCGAAGGCGGGUCUCUGGGCCGAUACUGACGCUGAGGAGCGAAAGCGUGGGGAGCGAACAGG
This 254-nucleotide ribosomal RNA is filed under the name uncultured bacterium. RNAcentral's name for it is "partial 16S ribosomal RNA". It matches the Rfam family "Bacterial small subunit ribosomal RNA", at positions 524 to 776 of the family's 1533-position model. The record is from RNAcentral.